UCCGAGCUGACGGAAGCCUGUGACUGGU
RNAcentral lists this non-coding RNA (28 nucleotides) under Homo sapiens (human). Lineage: Eukaryota; Metazoa; Chordata; Mammalia; Primates; Hominidae. The record is from RNAcentral.